This is a long non-coding RNA of Octopus bimaculoides (California two-spot octopus), 425 nucleotides long. NCBI's taxonomy places the organism in Eukaryota, Metazoa, Mollusca, Cephalopoda, Octopoda, Octopodidae. The record is from RefSeq and is a predicted model, not a curated record.
UGUACAAACAUAGUCACCAGGCUGUUUGCAUUGAUGGAAAAUACAUAGAUCAUAAAUAUUGUCUGCUAUUCGUACGUGUCUGCAAACAUAUUUAUCUGACAAUAUGCUAAGAAAAUUGAUGUACUUUGGCAGAAAUAUAUUUUCACAGCUGUCUAUCACUUGUUAAUUAACAGCAAACGUCCGAUGCAUUGGGACAGAAACUGAAUAAUAUACAUGGAGGGAACGUUAAUGAUUUUAAGUCUAAACUGGAAUCCAUGCUUCCAGACCAACCGACAUCCCAUCAAGAAAUGCAAAUGAGGGAAGUGACAUUGAAAAUCCUCGCUCGGGAAAAGCUUUGUACUAUAUAACUAGAGCGCAUUAUAUAAACUGUUCUUCAGUAUGGCGGCUGCUGUUUCGUUGGGUGUGAUAAAGGAAUAACAAAAUUA